This 253-nucleotide ribosomal RNA is filed under the name uncultured bacterium. Its description in RNAcentral is "partial 16S ribosomal RNA". It matches the Rfam family "Bacterial small subunit ribosomal RNA", at positions 524 to 776 of the family's 1533-position model. The record is from RNAcentral.
UAUGUAGGGGGCAAGCGUUGUCCGGAUUUAUUGGGCGUAAAGAGCGUGUAGGCGGUUAGUCGUCAGUCGUUGAGAAACUCGAGGCUCAACCUCGAGACGCCGAUGGAAACCAUCUGACUAGAGUCCGGAAGAGGAGAGUGGAAUUCCUGGUGUAGCGGUGAAAUGCGCAGAUAUCAGGAAGAACACCCGUGGCUAAGGCGGCUCUCUAGUACGUGACUGACGCUGAGACGCGAAAGCGUGGGGAGCGAACAGG